GCUUACGGCCAAAUCACUCUGAAUACGCCCGAUCUUGACGGAUCUCAGAAUGUGAGCGUGAUUGAGCCGGGUUAGUACUUGGAAAGGGGGUGACCACCAGGGCUUGCCAGAUGUUGUAGGCG
RNAcentral lists this ribosomal RNA (122 nucleotides) under Petromyzon marinus (sea lamprey). Lineage: Eukaryota; Metazoa; Chordata; Hyperoartia; Petromyzontiformes; Petromyzontidae. The record is from RNAcentral.